Homo sapiens (human) is the source of this 1330-nucleotide long non-coding RNA. Ensembl annotates it as androgen receptor regulated long noncoding RNA 1. Its record names the gene ARLNC1. The record is from Ensembl. NCBI's taxonomy places the organism in Eukaryota, Metazoa, Chordata, Mammalia, Primates, Hominidae.
GUUCAGCUCCCAGUUAUCCAUGAGAACAGGGAAUCUUACCAGGACAUGCCCAAAUUGGUAUCAUUGCUCAUGGUAGGUCUCCUGGAUCCAGCCCCAAGUCUCAUCUUUCCUCUUAUUUGUCCACCAUUUUGCUUGAUCCAUAUGGUUUUCAGGUGCUGGUUCCAUGGCUCUUCCUGAGCCGAAAAUAAGGAAACUCCAUAGACCUUGUCCACUGGAACUCGUUCCCAUCUACCCUCCACUCUAUCCAGCCCCAUGAGGACAAGGAACAUGAUUGGUUUUGCUCACUGCCGUAUCUUCCGUACCUAGUACGUAACAGGACAUCAAUAAAUAUUAGUUGAAUGGAAGAUUAAAUCAACAAAAUGGGUGAUGGAUCUCUGCAGUAAGUGGAAGAGUUCUUCAUGGCCCCCAAGGUUAUAUCCAUCUAGAACUUCAGCACGUAAUUUCAUCUGGAAAUAGUGCCUUUGCGGAUAUAAGUUAGGUAAAACUGAAGAUGAGAUCAUACUGGAUUAGGAUGGGAUCUAAAUCCAAUGAAAAUGUCUUCAUAAAAAACAGGAAAGAACCCAUAGAAACACAAGGAAGAAGGUCAUGUGAAGAUGGAGGCAGAGAUUGGAGGGAUGCAGCCACCGGCCCAGGAAUGCCAGCAGCCACCCAGAAGCUGGAAGGAAAUGAGGGAUUCUCUCCUAGAACCUUUAGAGAGAACAUGGUCCUGUGAACAGCUUGAUUUUGGACUUGCCCAUAGCUUGUAUACUCUUACUUUGGAUACAAUUUUAUCCAAACUUGGCUAAACAGUUUCUCAGCCUAUGGAAAAUUUAAAAUGGAGAAGAUUCAACUCGAUUCUUACAGAUUCAAAGCAAGAAAAUGAUGGGAACAUAGGAGGAGACCAAGAAAGCCUAUAAAAAGCAAAAAUAUGAAGUGAACAUUGUGGUAGCUUUAAGAUGUUUAGUGUAGCUGCAGGCACCCUAUACACAUGAAAACCCCCAAGGGGAAUCCCCAUAUCACAGUGUAGUGUGAUAUUUGACAUUCGUGAUCAUCUAGAGAUGUACAGAAAAGGUGAAUCUGUGUUCUGUAUAUUCUGCCUAAGGCAAAGAAAUGUUUAGCUCUCUUUAAAAUAGUUCCAUAAUUUUUUCUAAAAAGCUUUGCUUGAAAACUGUAAGCUUCCCAUAUCUGGAGCAUUUCACUUUAAAUAUUUGGAUAAAUAUGUUAUCUUCUUACUUGGACAUUUCAUGUGUUUAGGGAUUGUCUUCUAAAUUCUUCCUAAUUCAUAUAGCUGCUAACACUUCCCGCAGAGCUAAACCAUUACAGAUAUGAAAUAAAGACCUAUUGAUUUGAC